CAGCCGCCGCGGUAAUACGUAGGGUGCAAGCGUUAAUCGGAAUUACUGGGCGUAAAGCGUGCGCAGGCGGUUAUAUAAGACAGAUGUGAAAUCCCCGGGCUCAACCUGGGACCUGCAUUUGUGACUGUAUAGCUAGAGUACGGUAGAGGGGGAUGGAAUUCCGCGUGUAGCAGUGAAAUGCGUAGAUAUGCGGAGGAACACCGAUGGCGAAGGCAAUCCCCUGGACCUGUACUGACGCUCAUGCACGAAAGCGUGGGGAGCAAACAGGAUUAGAGACCCCUGUAUCCCUGUCUCUUAUACC
Molecule: ribosomal RNA, 301 nt
Filed under: uncultured bacterium
Lineage: Bacteria
Description: partial 16S ribosomal RNA
Rfam family: Bacterial small subunit ribosomal RNA
Source: RNAcentral